AUGACACCCAUGGACAUGGACUCUGGUCUGGCAAAGAUUCCUACUACCCUCUAAUGACCCAUAAAGAAAUGAGAAGGAAACUGCUGCACACAAUAUGAGGUAGAAGAAAGCAUCUAGCUAAGAGUACGGCCUGACAAGAGACAGGAAGAGAGGAUUCAUCUUACUUCUUUCUCCAUUAAGGAAGCAUUGCUGAGUAUAACUUAGACUGGACAGACUUACACUGGACUACUGUCAGGACAACUACAGUUAGACUAUUUCUGCCAAUAAAACAAGCCUACUUUUCGUUUUGUAAUCUGCAAAUAUUUGAUGUCAAAAUUGUGUCCAGGCAGGAUAUAAACCUGCCUGGUUCUUCAAAAAUACAUAAUAAGCUACUUAAAUACAGCUUGAGAGUUUUUUGUUUCCUACAUUUUUUUUUCCUCUAAGCUCACUUACAGAAAAUGGUCUCUGUAAUUUAUAACUAUACAUAUGACAUGAUGAGAAACCAGGCAAUGGUGUGUAAAAUACAAUAAUUUUAUGAAUGCCAAGACAUUUAACACUGUUGCCUGCUAUUCUGCUAAAGCAAUCUACACAUCAAAAAUCUGCAUUAGCAGAUACAAUCUGAACACCAGGAUAAAGAAUGGGAGCAUCCCUACCACAGUCUGCUACCUGUGCUGCCUAAAGCCCCAGGAGGCAGGUGGCUACUGCAGACUUGGCCAAAGGUACCAGCCCAGGGCCCAGGAGCAGAAAGCCCAAACAUUCUGUCACACAACUCUCCCAUUCCAGGCCAUGAACAGUCUGGCGCACCUUGUUCCUGCAGCAGGAACAUUCAAUUUUCUAUACUGCUGAGGGAACCUAAACUGAUUCAACAGCCUAUAACAGCUUUUGUGUGGGUUUUUCCUGGAUUUUAUCCUUUCUGUAAUUGUUCAAGUCUAACCUCAGAACAAAUAUAAUUCAGAGUUCCACAUUUUAAAUGCUUUCCCAGUACCACAGCUGAUUACUUAUGCAACUUGUGGAAGGAAAUCCUCUUGAUAUCUGUUCCACUGGAAUAAACCUGAAUAACCCUAGAACAGCACAUGAGAAGGUAAAAAGAGAACACAAAACAUACAUUAACUGAAAAGUACAACAUACUUAGUAUGUUCACUCCUUGUAAAAUAUGUGAUCAGAUUCUUGAACAUAAGCAGCACAAGUAAUGCACACCCAAAUCAUGUAGAAAAGUGUAAAGAGGCCCCAUUCCAGAAAUGCACCAAGCACCAUCAAUGUAAAUGCCCAGUUAGAUCUUAACCAGGGGAGAUGCCAAGAGAUAGCCAACAAUUGACUUGCAAAUCACAUUGCAAAAGGCCUAGCUCAUAUGUGAUACCAAUGACUCACAUUAACCCAAGUCUGAUUUCCAAGAGGCUCCCAGCAGAAAAAAAACCCAAAAACCCAAAAUCAAAAAAACCACCAAAAUAAAACAAAAAAAAACAGAUAGAGAAAACAGACAAAAGGGGGGAAGGGGGGAAGGCAAAACAUGGGUUAGUA
Parus major (Great Tit) is the source of this 1497-nucleotide long non-coding RNA. RefSeq lists it as uncharacterized. The transcript has 3 exons. NCBI's taxonomy places the organism in Eukaryota, Metazoa, Chordata, Aves, Passeriformes, Paridae. The record is from RefSeq and is a predicted model, not a curated record.